GAUGAACGCUGGCGGCGUGCCUAAUACAUGCAAGUCGAGCGAAUGGAUUGAGAGCUUGCUCUCAAGAAGUUAGCGGCGGACGGGUGAGUAACACGUGGGUAACCUGCCCAUAAGACUGGGAUAACCCCGGGAAACCGGGGCUAAUACCGGAUAAUAUUUUGAACUGCAUGGUUCGAAAUUGAAAGGCGGCUUCGGCUGUCACUUAUGGAUGGACCGCGUCGCAUUAGCUAGUUGGUGAGGUAACGGCUCACCAAGGCAACGAUGCGUAGCCGACCUGAGAGGGUGAUCGGCCACACUGGGACUGAGACACGGCCCAGACUCCUACGGGAGGCAGCAGUAGGGAAUCUUCCGCAAUGGACGAAAGUCUGACGGAGCAACGCCGCGUGAGUGAUGAAGGCUUUCGGGUCGUAAACUCUGUUGUUAGGGAGAACGAAGUGCUAGUUGAAUAAGACUGGC
Molecule: ribosomal RNA, 456 nt
Filed under: uncultured bacterium
Lineage: Bacteria
Description: bacterial SSU rRNA
Rfam family: Bacterial small subunit ribosomal RNA
Source: RNAcentral